Molecule: long non-coding RNA, 688 nt
Organism: Drosophila yakuba
Lineage: Eukaryota; Metazoa; Arthropoda; Insecta; Diptera; Drosophilidae
Exons: 2
Source: RefSeq, a predicted model, not a curated record
CGUACAUUAUUAAAUUCUUACCUUAAGUUAGAUUAAAGUACUACAUUGAUUUUCUUUUCAUCAUCGCUAUUCUGUUUAUUCUGUUUAUUCACACACAAUUCAAGCGGCGUCAUAACAAAUUGAUUUUCCCACAACAUUAUUCGCAUUAUCGCAUAUUUUGCUAGCAAAUGCGGAUCAAGAUUGCCCGAAAUCCAAUUUUCAGCGCUCAAAAUCAAAGAGCUUUUCCGGUGGAAAUGUGUUUGUUUUCUCUCUCUGCGCCGCAUUUCAAUCGCAGGACUGCGACUGCAGGCAGUCUUAAAGGCAAACAGACAAGGCGAAUUUGCUCCUGGAGAUUCCUUAAAUGCCAAGAUGUCGGGCUGCCUGCAAAGUUGGUCGCCAGCCAGAUGCUGAAAGCAAUGCAGCGACAUGGAAAAUACCACAGCGGCGAAUGCACAGACACGCAGGAUGUGGAUGCCAGGACGAGGUUGAAGGAUGGUGUGGAAGGAUGGGGAUCCGGGCCUUCUGGGCUUCUGUGCUCAAGAUGACGGUGCUGCGGGCCAGUCGCUUGAGUGGAGUGUCCUCGUCCAUGUCCCCAGCCCAAAUCCCGAGUGCAUAGACAGAUGCUGCAGCUCCAGCUCAAGCUCAAGCUCACUGAACAAAAAUCCUAUGUAAUAUAUGAGUAAUUAAAAAGAUCGGUUACUAAGCCAAA